GGCUCGUUAGCUCAGUAGGUUAGAGUGCCGAUAUGAAAUGCUAUUUGACCAUCGGAGGACGAAGGUUCAAAUCCUUCACGAGCCG
This 85-nucleotide transfer RNA is filed under the name Heliconius melpomene (postman butterfly). RNAcentral describes it as "tRNA HMEL008999". It matches the Rfam family "tRNA". From Rfam's summary of the family: Transfer RNA (tRNA) molecules are approximately 80 nucleotides in length. The record is from RNAcentral. Lineage: Eukaryota; Metazoa; Arthropoda; Insecta; Lepidoptera; Nymphalidae.